AUGCAACAUGCUUGUGGCAGUAUAAAACAGUCUGCAUGAGAGAAUAGUCCAUGAGAGCAAAAUCAAUGUAAGGAUAAAUGAAUGUAGAUGGGAUCACCAAUCCCAAAUGUGUUACAAGAAGAGAGUGAACAAAGUGACACGGAGACUAAGAGAAGAUAAGAAAAGAAGUAGAAAGCAAACAUAGGGCAGUAUCCUGGCACAGAAUGCCUGGAGUAGCUCAACAAUGCGGGAGCAGAUGACUUGGGGAAAGCCUAGUUCGUUGGGCUUGCUGCCAGGGUGAGUGUCUAUGGG
This 291-nucleotide long non-coding RNA is filed under the name Pan troglodytes (chimpanzee). RNAcentral describes it as "long non-coding RNA NONPTRT001749". Lineage: Eukaryota; Metazoa; Chordata; Mammalia; Primates; Hominidae. The record is from RNAcentral.